Molecule: ribosomal RNA, 447 nt
Filed under: uncultured bacterium
Lineage: Bacteria
Description: bacterial SSU rRNA
Rfam family: Bacterial small subunit ribosomal RNA
Source: RNAcentral
UCGGGAAUUUUGGGCAAUGGGCGAAAGCCUGACCCAGCAACGCCGCGUGAAGGAUGAAGUAUUUCGGUAUGUAAACUUCGAAAGAAUAGGAAGAAUAAAUGACGGUACUAUUUAUAAGGUCCGGCUAACUACGUGCCAGCAGCCGCGGUAAUACGUAGGGACCAAGCGUUGUUCGGAUUUACUGGGCGUAAAGGGCGCGUAGGCGGCAAUUCAAGUCAUCUGUGAAAUCUCCGGGCUUAACUCGGAACGGUCAGAUGAUACUGCUUUGCUAGAGUGCAGAAGGAGCAAUCGGAAUUCUUGGUGUAGCGGUGAAAUGCGUAGAUAUCAAGAGGAACACCUGAGGUGAAGACGGGUUGCUGGGCUGACACUGACGCUGAGGCGCGAAAGCCAGGGGAGCAAACGGGAUUAGAUACCCGAGUAGUCCCUGAGCGGGCUGGCAAGGCGCAU